RNAcentral lists this ribosomal RNA (497 nucleotides) under uncultured bacterium. RNAcentral's name for it is "partial 16S ribosomal RNA". It matches the Rfam family "Bacterial small subunit ribosomal RNA", at positions 28 to 507 of the family's 1533-position model. The record is from RNAcentral.
GAUGAACGCUGGCGGCGUGCCUAAUACAUGCAAGUCGAGCGAAGAGACGAGGAGCUUGCUCCUCGGACGUUAGCGGCGGACGGGUGAGGAACACGUGGAUAACCUACCUAUAAGACUGGGAUAACUUCGGGAAACCGGAGCGAAUACCGGAGAAUAUAUUGAACCGCAUGGUUCAAUAGUGAAAGACGGUUUUGCUGUCACUUAUAGAUGGAUCCGCGCCGCAUUAGCUAGUUGGUAAGGUAACGGCUUACCAAGGCAACGAUGCGUAGCCGACCUGAGAGGGUGCUCGGCCACACUGCAGCUGCGGCGCGGUCCAGCCUCCUCCGGGGGGCGGCAGUAGGGGAUCUUCCGCCAUGGGCGACAGCCUGACGGAGCAGCGCCGCGUGAGUGAUGAUGGUCUUCGGCUCGUAGAACUCUGUUAUUAGGGAAGAACAAAUGUGUAAGUAACUAUGCACGUCUUGACGGUACCUAAUCAGAAAGCCACGGCUAACUACGUG